AAAUGAUACAAGUAGUUUUUACAGUACCUACACAAUAUGUAGAAGCUAGAAAAGAGAUCCAAUUGCAACCUGCUUCAACAAACUUAUUACAUAUUGUAAAGCAUCUUCACAUGAUUUCUUAACUACUAUGGAACUCGAUACAUGAUUAAAACCAUAAUUUCUACAAAAUACAAAGUAAAGACUGCGUCUUGAACCCACUGACCUUAAGACUGUUUCAACUUUGAACAACACAUACAACAUGAGGAACCUUCUCAUUGUCAAAAGGCAAGUAGACAUACUCGCGAGCAAACUCCUCUGCGAUAUCCAAUGCUAGCUCCCCGUGCAACGCCUUGCAAUACAUAUACAACACGACACUCGCUGCAAUGUUCUGAAGCAUCAGGAGAGUAGCGAAGCCCGAACUCACCACCAUCUGCAAUAUCACCCCAAAGCUUGUCCACCCACCACUAGCAGCUCCUACACUCACCAGAAAACUUGAACAACCACCCACUAACAAUCCAAUCAGAACCCCGAAAAAUAGCAACACUGACAACGCCACCCAUCUCAUCCCCUUCACCAAAUAAGCACUUCUUCGCAAUGCUUGGUAACCCCAUUUCGAUUCCACAACUACAAUCACAUAAGCUAAUGACCAAUUAACCUGCAACCACAUAACAACCAAUACAACAAGUACACCUACAAAAACACCCAAACCCAUUAAGUAAUUCGAAUCGUAACCCACUUCAAACCCAAGAAACUGCACACCCUGCACCACAAUCACCGCCAAUAGCCCAAACAGUAAAACAAUCAAAGCAUAAAUGACACGCGAAACGAUAAGGGUGGCAAUUAGAGGCAAGAAAGAGUACAAAACCGACUUCAUAGACGAAACAAGCUUGACGGGUCUUCCAUAAAAUCCAUGGAAAGUACUGUAGCUGAUUGUAGCCAACGCCAAAAGAGACAGAACAGAAGCUAAAAGGGUGUACACAAGGAGAAGAAGAAGGGACUGGGAAUCCGGUUGGGUCAGAUUCCGAAUCGGGUCAUAUGGGUCAGUGGAGGUGAAGAAGGAGAAGGAAAGGUGAGAUGGGUGUCGGUUAAAAAGGUUGGAAUCGGAGUGAAAGAGAGCGGUUUGAAGAGUAGGAUAGAUGAUGAGAGAAAAAGAGAGAGGCAAAAGGAAGGAAACUGAAAGGGCUAAGAAAUGGCGUGAGUGAGCAUUGAUUAUCCGCUUUGAUUGGGAAAGUACUCCCCAGAGAUUAAGGGUGUGUGGAUAACCAGACAUUGAAGAUGAUGAUGAAGAAACCAAAGAGAUGAUGAGAAAAACUAGUCUCUGUUUUUGUGAUUUGGGGCUUUUUUCCCUUUUCUUGAAUUUUUCAGGAUUGAUGUGAAGGAGGAGACAAGUGGCAAUAAGGU
This 1380-nucleotide unclassified non-coding RNA is filed under the name Hevea brasiliensis (rubber tree). The record is from RNAcentral. Lineage: Eukaryota; Viridiplantae; Streptophyta; Magnoliopsida; Malpighiales; Euphorbiaceae.